RNAcentral lists this unclassified non-coding RNA (339 nucleotides) under soil metagenome. RNAcentral's name for it is "partial contains 5.8S ribosomal RNA, internal transcribed spacer 2, and large subunit ribosomal RNA". The stretch from base 1 to 120 matches the Rfam family "5.8S ribosomal RNA", at positions 35 to 154 of the family's 154-position model. The record is from RNAcentral.
GAUGAAGAACGCAGCGAAAUGCGAUAAGUAGUGUGAGUUGCAGAAUUCAGUGAAUCAUCGAAUCUUUGAACGCACAUUGCGCCCCUCGGUAUUCCGUGGGGCAUGCCUGUUCGAGCGUCAUUUAACCCCUCAAGCCUAGCUUGGUAUUGGGUGCUUGUCCCGCCUCUCGCGCGGCGACUCACCUCAAAGUCAUUGGCAGCCCGCAUCUCGCCGGCCGUGAGCGCAGCACAGACGCGCUCUUGGCAACGACGGAUCGGCUCUCCAAAAGCUUAUUUCAACCACUGACCUCGGAUCAGGUAGGGAUACCCGCUGAACUUAAGCAUAUCAAUAAGCGGAGGA